RNAcentral lists this ribosomal RNA (464 nucleotides) under uncultured bacterium. RNAcentral describes it as "partial 16S ribosomal RNA". It matches the Rfam family "Bacterial small subunit ribosomal RNA", at positions 339 to 795 of the family's 1533-position model. The record is from RNAcentral.
CUACGGGCGGCAGCAGUGGGGAAUUUUGGACAAUGGGCGCAAGCCUGAUCCAGCCAUUCCGCGUGAGUGAAGAAGGCCUUCGGGUUGUAAAGCUCUUUCGCAAGGGAAGAACACUUAGCUACUAAUAUUAGCUGAGGUUGACGGUACCUUGAUAAGAAGCACCGGCAAACUACGUGCCAGCAGCCGCGGUAAUACGUAGGGUGCGAGCGUUAAUCGGAAUUACUGGGCGUAAAGCGUGCGCAGGCUGUUUUGUAAGUCAGAUGUGAAAUCCCCGAGCUCAACUUGGGAACUGCGUUUGAAACUACAAGACUAGAAUAUGUCAGAGGGGGGUAGAAUUCCACGUGUAGCAGUGAAAUGCGUAGAGAUGUGGAGGAAUACCAAUGGCGAAGGCAGCCCCCUGGGAUAAUAUUGACGCUCAUGCACGAAAGCGUGGGGAGCAAACAGGAUUAGAUACCCCCGUAGUC